RNAcentral lists this ribosomal RNA (497 nucleotides) under uncultured bacterium. RNAcentral's name for it is "partial 16S ribosomal RNA". It matches the Rfam family "Bacterial small subunit ribosomal RNA", at positions 28 to 507 of the family's 1533-position model. The record is from RNAcentral.
GAUGAACGCUGGCGGCGUGCCUAAUACAUGCAAGUCGAGCGAACAGACGAGAAGCUUGCCUCUCUGAUGUUAACGGUGGACGGGGGAGUAAAACGUGGAGAACCUACCUAUAAGACUGGGAUAAAUUCGGGAAACCGGAGCUAAUACCGGAUCAUAUUUUGAACCACAUGGUUCAACAGUGAAAGACGGUGUUGCUGUCACUUAUAGAUGGAUCAGCCCUGCAUUAGCUAGUUGGUAAGGUAACGGCUUACCAAGGCAACGAUGCAUAGCCGACCUGAGAGGGUGGUCGCCCAGCCGGGAAGUGAGACACGGUCCAGACUCCUGGGGGGGGCAGCGGUAGGGAAUCUUCCGCGAGGGGGGAAAGGCUGACGGAGCAACGCCGCGUGAGUGAUGAAGGUCUGCGGAUCGGAAAACUCUGUUAUUAGGGAGGAACAUAUGUUUAAGUAACUGGGCACAUCUUGACGGUACCUAAUCAGAAAGCCACGGCUAACUACGUG